GAUAGAGGUUCCUAGCAGAACACUUGAAAAGUUUCUAUUUUAUGCAGGACCAGGCUUGGACUAUUAUGAAUGUUGCUGAACACUGUUAAUCAAGCUUACACAGCUAUUUUGAUGGCAAACAAUUAGAACUCUGAAGCAAUACCUUGCAAUUAGCUUCAGGGAUAUGGACCUCAGCACCGUAAUAAUGAAAGAGACCUUCUCCUUCAAGCAAGAUUCUGGGUAGUAUUCUGAGUGAAGAAGGGGAGGAUGAAGAAAAACCAGGAUUUCUUAGAACUUUAAUUUAAGAAUAUGUCAUCUUCAAGAGGAAUCUUACUUCCCUGCUGCGAUUUGGGCUGCACUGAAAAUCAUAAAGCACCAGCCAACUCUGAAUUCCCUUGAAGACUUGCUGUAUUUGCAUAAAAAACAAAAUCUUUUUGUUUAUAUUGUACCUCUACAUUUUUUUUUGCACAAGAGUUUACUGGAGCCUGAUCUCAUGUCAAAUUUCAAAGCACAAUGACUCUGAAGAAGGAAGGGAAGUGCAUUUUUCUUCACAUUCCUGAAAUGUGUAAGUAUUGAUAUCAAGGUCACAUCUUCUGUAGGAAUGUCUAAUACAUUAUUAGGGUCAGAAUAAGUCCAGAAGAGUUUUGUCAAGAAUAGAAACACUUGUGAAUGGCAAAAUCUACACAUAAGAGAACAACUAUAUUUUCUGUGAUUCUGGAAUGCUCUUUUUACAAUAAAUGUGGUUCCCUGGACUUCUGCUACUGUGAUGAAAAUGCAUUUCAGAGAAAGCAAACUUCUGGUAAUUUUCUAAUAUCUAGAAAUACAAAUCCACAGUGCAGAACUCAUUGCAUUAACAUUACCAGUAAAUAACAGUAUUUUUCUCUGUCACAAACAUUUAGCUUGUGUUCCCAAAUACCAUUUUAUUACUUUGAAAAUAGUCCUUAAGAAUUUUCAGUGGAUAAUUGAGCCGUGUGUGUAUUUUAGGACAAAUAUUGGGAAAAGUCAUGUUCAAUACCAAUGUCUAUACCAUUUAAACAAUGAAAGCAUCAGGUAAGUAACAACAUUUGGACAGCAAGUCAAUAUGACUAUGAAAGGUCUCCAAUAAUGAGCAAACUCAAACCAAUACACUGUUUGAGUAUUUGGCCUUCCUAUUGACAAAGGUUGCUUUCAAUCACACUGUAUCUAUUACCAUAUCAAUCAUCACUCUAAAUGAAUACAACAUGAACAUUGACGAAGACAUCACUUAGGCAAAGAAACUAAAGGUUCUAUAAAAACAAAUAAUGAAAGUUUGGUUGAUCACAGCAUGAAAAUUAGACCUAAUCCUUAGUCAUUUUUACUUUGUAAAACAAAUAAAUUUAAACAAAAAAUGUUAGCUCUAUUUCUUUCUAGGAACUUAAAAUAUAUGGAAAUUGAUAUCACAUUCUUAAUUAUUAAACAUAAUGCAAUCCAAUACGUUGUUUGCUACACAAAUUAAGAUAUGGAAUUGAACUGAUGAAAAUGAUUUACGUGCAGGAUUAAAAUAUUGGCAGCUUUAUAGAGUGAAAUGUCACUAUACUGCUGUACCUUCAAGUUUUACAUUUCCUCCUUUGAAUCCCUGUCAGCCUUCAUGAACACUGGAGAGUUUAAUCAAUGCUUGCUGUAGCCAUAGCAUAACACUGAAUAUUUUAUCUGUGUAAUAAUCAUUGUGCAGUUUAGUACAAGUCAAAAGCAGGAAUUAUAAACAGAUAUAUUGCAAUUGACAAGGUUACAUGUUAAAUUACAGUAAAACUAAUUUUUACACGUUUCUAUGGUUCUUUUCUUUUUGUGAAGGCAACCUGUUUUGCAACAGUUCAAUGCACCCUAAGGCAAUCAAAUUGUAUUUAGGAUGACUCAGAGGUCAUAAAAUUCAAACACUUAUGAGUUCAUGUAUUUGAAUUACUUUAAUUUAUAUGAUACAAAACUCUUGUGAAACAAGCAUUUUAUUUGCUUUAUGCACUCCAAAGGGUGGAAUUCAGAUUGUAAUUUGUGCUGCAUUUUUCAAGAUAGUCAAUAUCGACAAUAUCAGCUCUGGAGAGGGAGAAAGAGAUUACCAUCUUGGUGUUGUGGCAGUCUGUUUUCCUUAUAAAAAAACCUUGUGUGAAGCUAAAAUAUAGGCAUGAAUGAGGGAAUAAGGACAGAGACAUAGCAUGAAAUUUAGGAAACUAAAUAGAAAACUGAGUAGAUAAAAAGGUUGUCAAAUACAUUAUUUCCAAAUUUUCAAAUCAAAGCCACUAGUACAGCUAAUUUAAAAGAUAGCUUAAAUUUUUGAUUUGAAAAAAAUUGAAAAAAAUAGGAUAUUUAAUAUAAUAACACCAAGCAAAGAAGAAAGAUUAAGAUAUGUUUGAAAUACAUUAGAAAUAAUUUGCCUUUAAGUAAGUUUAAUUGCUAUAUAUUAACUUUAUUUAAAUAAAUAAAGUUAGUUUUCCAGCCAAUUUUCCCAAAGACAUUAAUCUAUAGAAUAGUCCCAAUACCCGUAAACUACAAACAACUUUAAUAACAUUGCGAGGAAGGAAUAGAAAUAAUAAUUUUGAUUAAAGAGUUCUUAAUUUCUAUUUAAAGAGUAUCCUCUUAUGGGUAUUUUGAUAAACAGGUGCAGUGCAAGGAAUGCAUUAUGUCAUAGAUAUUUAUUCAAAAAUAUGUAGAAAAAACCUACUUCUACUGUCAAUAAUGUUAUUUGUUGCAUUAUUCCUUCAGCACUGAAAUCGAUCUAGUAAGUAUCUAUUGAAUAAAUAUUUUGCCUAGAAAUUUGUUUUGCCUUGAUGUAUGUUACAAGCAUAUAGAUAUUUAAGAACAUAGAAAGUGCUCUGGUCUACCUAGUCAAUCCUCUUGCUAUACCACUCAGCAAGAAGGCUUUAUUUUUCCAGCAGGUGUAUCAGGCUAUAUCAAAUAUUUAAUCCAUCUAUGCAAGGUUGUCAAUUUUAGAAUAUACAUUAAUGGAAGAAUUUUUUUUCUCUGUCUGAUGACACACAGAGUGUCA
Zonotrichia albicollis (white-throated sparrow) is the source of this 2974-nucleotide non-coding RNA. Lineage: Eukaryota; Metazoa; Chordata; Aves; Passeriformes; Passerellidae. The record is from RefSeq and is a predicted model, not a curated record.